GGGGAUAAAUUAAUAAAUAAAUAAUAAUUAAUUAAAGUAAUUAUAAUAUUAAAAGGGGGUUUUAGUAUUAAUAAAGAAAAAAUUAAUAAAUUUAUAGUUUAAUAGUAUUGUAAAAGAAUUUUAAAAUAAAGGUUAAAUAAUAAUUUAAUUAAAAGUAAAUUUAAUUUGUUUUAUCUUGUGUAUCAGAGUUUAUUAAAUAAAAUUAUAAGGAAAAUUAUAUUUCUCGAAUUAAAAAGAGAUAAUUAAUUAAAAAAUUUAUUGUUGCAUAAAUAUUUUUAAUAAUUAAUUUGAAAUGAAAUGUUAAUCGUUUUUUAAGAUAUCUAGUUUUUUUAGAAAAAAAUUUAAUUUUAAAUUUAAUUAAUAAAUUAAUUAAUUAGUUAAUUAAUUUAAAUUAAAAUUUUAUAUUUUAAGGGAUAAUCUUUAAAUUAAAAUUUUAUAAUUUAAAAUCAAUUUAUUUAAAAUUUUUAGAAUUUAUAUUGUUAAAUAAAUUAUAAUUUAUUAUAAAUAAUUUUAAGUAUAAGAAAAAUUUAAUUUUAAAUUUAAUUUUUUAUAAAAAAUUAAAUUUAAAUAAAUAAAAUUUAGAUAAUAUGAUAAAAUUAGUAUAAAAUAAUUAAAGGGGUAAGGAGUUAAAUUUAAUGUAAAAUAUUAAAAAGGAAUUCGGCAAAAUUUUAUAUUCACUUGUUUAUCAAAAACAUGUCUUUUUGAAGAAUAAUUUAAAGUCUAAUCUGCCCACUGAUAAAUAUUAAAGGGCUGCAGUAUUUUGACUGUACAAAGGUAGCAUAAUCAUUAGUCUCUUAAUUGGUGACUUGUAUGAAAGAUUGGAUGAAAUAUAAACUGUCUCUAAAGUAUUAUAUAGAAUUUAAUUUUUUAAUUAAAAAGUUAAAAUAUAUUUAAAAGACGAGAAGACCCCGUAGAGUUUUAUAAUUGUUAUUAGUUAUGAUUAUUUAUAAUUAAAAAUUAUUAAGAUUAAUUAAAUUAUUUUGUUGGGGUGAUAGAAAAAUAAAAAAAACUUUUUUUAAUUUUAAACAUAAAUAAGUGAUUAUUUGAUCCAUUAUUAUUGAUUAAAAGAAAAAAUUACCUUGGGGAUAACAGCGUAAUUUUUUCUUUUAGUUCAAAUAAAAGAGAAAGUUUGCGACCUCGAUGUUGGAUUAAGAUAAAAUUUAGGUGCAAAUGUUUAAAUUUUUGAUCUGUUCGAUCAUUAAAAUCUUACAUGAUCUGAGUUCAAACCGGUGUAAGCCAGGUUGGUUUCUAUCUUUAGAAAUUUGAAAUAUUUUAGUACGAAAGGAAUAAAUAUUUAAAUUAAAUUUAAUAUAAUGAAUAUUAAUAAUAAUUUAAUUUUUAAAUUUAAAA
RNAcentral lists this ribosomal RNA (1350 nucleotides) under Parapediasia teterrellus. Its description in RNAcentral is "16S ribosomal RNA". Lineage: Eukaryota; Metazoa; Arthropoda; Insecta; Lepidoptera; Crambidae. The record is from RNAcentral.